GGAGAGGUGUCAGAGUGGUUUAAUGAGCACGCUUGGAAAGCGUGUGUACCCAAAAGGUACCGGGGGUUCGAAUCCCCCCCUCUCCGCCA
This 89-nucleotide transfer RNA is filed under the name Kiritimatiellaceae bacterium. RNAcentral describes it as "tRNA-Ser". It matches the Rfam family "tRNA". Rfam says of the family: Transfer RNA (tRNA) molecules are approximately 80 nucleotides in length. The record is from RNAcentral. Lineage: Bacteria; Pseudomonadati; Kiritimatiellota; Kiritimatiellia; Kiritimatiellales; Kiritimatiellaceae.